This 301-nucleotide ribosomal RNA is filed under the name uncultured bacterium. Its description in RNAcentral is "partial 16S ribosomal RNA". It matches the Rfam family "Bacterial small subunit ribosomal RNA", at positions 509 to 807 of the family's 1533-position model. The record is from RNAcentral.
CAGUCGCCACGGUAAUACGUAGGGUGCAAGCGUUAAUCGGAAUUACUGGGCGUAAAGCGUGCGCAGGCGGUUUGUUAAGACAGAUGUGAAAUCCCCGGGCUCAACCUGGGAACUGCAUUUGUGACUGGCAAGCUAGAGUCUGGCAGAGGGGGGUGGAAUUCCGCGUGUAGCAGUGAAAUGCGUAGAUAUGCGGAGGAACACCGAUGGCGAAGGCGACUAUCUGGGCCAACACUGACACUGAGGCACGAAAGCGUGGGGAGCAAACAGGAUUAGAUACCCGGGUAGUCCCUGUCUCUUAUAC